Ictalurus punctatus (channel catfish) is the source of this 3734-nucleotide long non-coding RNA. NCBI's taxonomy places the organism in Eukaryota, Metazoa, Chordata, Actinopteri, Siluriformes, Ictaluridae. The record is from Ensembl.
UUUUUUUUUUUUUUUAACUUUUUUCAUUUUGUACCUUUAUUCGGCUACAUUCAAGAGGAAGCUCACUUUCGCAUAAAAUUUACAUAUUUACAUACACACACACACACAUGCAUACACACUCCCUCAGGUCUAUAUAUCACAUUUAACACUCUGACAGUAACAGUCUAUAACAUUUCAAUUCUACACACUCGGUGUGGAAAACUAGGAGUAGAUCGGUCCAUGUCUAAGAGAAAAAGGACACACACACACACACACACACACACUCACACACACACACAGACACACAUAGACACACACAUUCACACAAACACAUAUACACAGACAGACACACACACACACAGUGUUUCUUUUAUCAGUGUCACAAGAUAAGAGGAAGUGAACUCCUGGCUGUCCUUAUCCUGUGUGUGUGUGUGUGUGUGUAUGUGUGUGUGUGUGUGUGUGUGUGUGUGUGUGUGUGUGUGAGUGUGUGUGUGUAUGAGUGAGUGUGUGUGUGUGAGUGUGUGUGUGUGUAUGAGUGAGUGUGUGUGAGUGUGUGUGUGUGUGUGUAUGUGUGAGUGCGUGUGUGUGUGUGUGUGUGUGUGUAUGUGUGUGUAUGAGUGAGUGUGUGUGAGUGUGUGUGUAUGUGUGAGUGCGUGUGUGCGUGUGUGUGUGUGAGUGUGUGUGUGUAUGAGUGAGUGUGUGUGUGUGUGUGUGUAUAUGUGAGUGCGUGUGUGUGUGUGUGAGUGUGUGUGUGUGUGUGUGUGUGUGAGUGUGUGUGUGUGUGUGUAUGAGUGAGUGUGUGUGAGUGUGUGUGUAUAUGUGAGUGCGUGUGUGUGUGUGUGUGAGUGUGUGUGUGUGUGUGUGAGUGUGUGUGUGUGUGUGCAUGUGUGUGUGUGUCUCCACACGCCUCCAUGUUGUGACGAUUACACUGUUUAGUUGUUAAAGAGAGAACUUCACAUCGUACCUUUUAUCCCUUUACAGUUACAUGUAAUGUUCCGUUCUCGCUCACGGCGUGGCAGCGUAAACACUGGAGACUCCUUCCGUACACGUGUGUUUAGAUACACGUUUACGAAGAGCGUCCGCCGUACAGGUCUCUCUCUCCCUCUCUCUCUCCCUCUCUCUCUCUCUCUCUCCCUCUCUCCCUCUCUCUCUCUGGAAGCUCGGUUUAAUUAGAACCUUAUUUAUUUAUAUAAUUGAUGAACUUUGCGUUUUAGUAAUUACGGGAUUGUGGGCUGAUCCUCACGUCGAUAAGAGACACGUGGGAUCACGGAUCGAUCGUCUCGGGAAGGAGAGACACGCGCCGUUUGUUUCUCCCUCUCUCUCUCUCUCUUUUCUCUCUCGUCGUUGUCUCUCCGUUCGUCCUUCGGGAGGCUGGAUAUAUUAGAUAUAACCAAUUCAAUUUUAUGCACCGAGCUCACACACACUCACCCACACACACACACACCCUCAGGGACAUAAAUACACACAUUUUUAAUGCACUCUGCACCAGGAAAAGGGCCUCACACACUCAAUUAUUAAUGUAACGACCCGCCGACUUAAUUAAAUAAUAAAGACAGUGUGCUUCUGCGCUGGAAUGGAACGAGGAACGAGGAACGAGGCCGCCUCAUGUAUAUUAGAGAAGCCGGCAGAUACGCUCCUCGGCCAUGAUAAAAGGAAAGGGGGGGGGCGGGAGAUAAACAAAUAAAGAAUGCGGGAUGACCUCGAGUCGUUAUUUUCCCCGCGGAAGAGAUGAAUGAUGCGUUGAAUAAAUACAUGCAUGAGGCAGUAAACGGAUAUUAGCCUCCUGUGGGUUGUGCUCCGGGAAAAAAAAAGAGUAUUAGAGAAGCUGAGAGGGUGAAAGUGGCGAUAUAUUACCACUUCCUGCUUUAAAGAUCGGAUUUACACGCAACUUAAACACUGGAGUGCGCCGAUAAAAGUGAGCCGUUAUCGAACGCGGCUACACGGACAUCUCCGUAUCGUUUACGGGACAGAAAAAAGAGCUGAGAUUUAAAAUCCGACAGCUUGAUAGCGCUGUUUAUAAGAUCGGUCCGAUUUGCAUAUGCGUAUGCAUAUUCAUAACGUAAAGAAAAAACAACAACAACAACCGCAACAGCGACAACCGGCAUUGUUAAUCUGCGGACGUUUUUUCCCCCGGCUGCGUCUUCAAGACGUUGUUUGCAACAUUAUAAAUGAACUAACAACCUGGAUUAAAGGUGCAGUGAGUGAUUUUUAGCGCCCUCUGCUAAAGCGCCCGCUGAUUUUAAUUUCGAUGGAAACUUUAACAAGCCUUCGUCUUAUCCGUCAGCAGACUCCGCCCACUCUACAAACGCCUCGUUGUGGUUUCGUUUCUGAGGAAUGUUCUUUCUGGGCCAGAAAAAAUUCAACAGAAGUUUGAAAAGAAGAAAUCGUCAAGUUUUACCACACAGAAAUAACACCCGAACUGAAGUUUUGUCAAUUUUAUUCAAAUUAGGUAUGAAGCAGGUAGUAAAUCUGGAACAUUAAGAAGAAACUAAUUCCAGAUUAAAGGUGCAGUGCGGUAUGUGAGGUUUAGCGCCCUCUGCUGCUCGAGAUUGUAAUUCCAACAGACUUUCUCAUGAUAGUUGCUUUUAAGGAAUGUUCUUCCAGGAGGCGGAGCUCACUUCUAGGCCAAAAAAAAAAAAAAGUAAACAGAAACUAGCACAUUUUACUGCGUGGGUUAUAUUAUGUUUACGUAUGUUUACGGCUGUAGAGGUUGCGAAGUUUAACGGUACGAGGUUCGCUACACGCCCACAAGACAGGCUACAAGUCACUCGGCUCCUGCUAACGUGAACGGCGGACAGGCUAGCGCUGAACUUAUCAGAUCACUCCAGGUCUAGGAAACACUUUUAAAAACGACACACCGCACCUUUAAAGCAACCCGUGUCGUGUUUUUAAAUCGCAGGUUGCGGCUGCGAAGAAACAAAAGCCGGACGUGACGAACACGUUAAUAACGUCACGUUCAAGGGCACGACAUUGGCGUGUAAAGCAAUCUGCACGCGGACGCAAGCGUGUGAACAGGAUGUUCUGAUAAAUAUUCAGGAUAUUCCGUUACAUACGAAGAUUUCUCCCUCUCUCUCUCUCUCUCACACACACACACACACACACACACACCUAAAUGAUGGAUUCGUUGCAGUGUUAAUUUACAGAUAAAUAAAAAUUAAAGAUUAAAAAUUAACCGAGAAAAGGAAAAUAUAAAAUUUUAUUUUUAUAACUGAUGAAAUGAAGGGAAUAUUUGUGCUCUUCUCUCGGGUUUAUGAUUAUAUAUAUAUAUACACACAUUUUUUUCUUCUUCUCCUCUCCACUCCAUUUUAAAGCUCCGUAGCCUCCGGCCUUCAGCCGUACAGCCUUUUAACACUAAAGCAUGGAGAGCGAGGCCUGAAUUAUUGAUCCGUCCUCCAUCAGCACGGCGCUCACGUCCCAAAUCACAGCCAAGGCCGAACCCCGGUCCGCCUGCUGAAAUAAUUAAACAGACUCUCAUUAAGAGCCGAGAGGAGAGGAGAGAUUGUCUGGUGGGGGAGGAGGGAGGGGGAGUCACACUCGUUCUGAUGGGGGGAAGGGGGAGAUGAAUGAGUGUGUGUGUGUGCGUGUGCGUGUGUGUGUGUGUGAGGGAUAUCUCUCCCAUCAAAUCUCCCACAGAGGCUAAAAAUGACAGGUCUCAUCCAGCAGCGGUGAGGGAAUAAUAACAGAAUAUAACCACAGAGAGAGAGCGAGAGAGAGACAGAGAGAGACAGAGAGCGGAAACAGAAAGUGAGACAGAG